RNAcentral lists this ribosomal RNA (478 nucleotides) under uncultured bacterium. Its description in RNAcentral is "partial 16S ribosomal RNA". It matches the Rfam family "Bacterial small subunit ribosomal RNA", at positions 28 to 507 of the family's 1533-position model. The record is from RNAcentral.
GAUGAACGCUGGCGGCGUGCUUAACACAUGCCAGUCAAACGGGAAACCUUUUAUUGAAGCUUCGGCAGAUUUAGCUGGUUUCUAGUGGCGGACGGGUGAGUAACGCGUGGGUAACCUGCCCUAUACAGGGGGAUAACAACCAGAAAUGGUUGCUAAUACCGCAUAAGCGCACAGGGCCGCAUGGUCCGGUGUGAAAAACUCCGGUGGUAUAGGAUGGACCCGCGUUGGAUUAGCCAGUUGGCAGGGUAACGGCCUACCAAAGCGACGAUCCAUAGCCGGCCUGAGAGAGUGAACGGCCACAUUGGGACUGAGACACGGCCCAGACUCCUACGGGAGGCAGCAGUGGGGAAUAUUGCACAAUGGGGGAAACCCUGAUGCAGCGACGCCGCGUGAAGGAAGAAGUAUCUCGGAAUGUAAACUUCUAUCAGCAGGGAAGAUAGUGACGGUACCUGACUAAGAAGCCCCGGCUAACUACGUG